Molecule: ribosomal RNA, 551 nt
Filed under: uncultured Actinomycetes bacterium
Lineage: Bacteria; Bacillati; Actinomycetota; Actinomycetes
Description: bacterial SSU rRNA
Rfam family: Bacterial small subunit ribosomal RNA
Source: RNAcentral
GUAACGGCUCACCAAGGCUACGACGGGUAGCUGGUCUGAGAGGACGACCAGCCACACUGGAACUGAGACACGGUCCAGACUCCUACGGGAGGCAGCAGUGGGGAAUCUUGCGCAAUGGGCGAAAGCCUGACGCAGCGACGCCGCGUGGGGGAGGAAGGCCCUAGGGUUGUAAACCCCUGUCAGGUGGGACGAACCCUGGGUCGACGAAUAGUUGACUCAGCUGACGGUACCAUCAGAGGAAGCUCCGGCUAACUACGUGCCAGCAGCCGCGGUAAUACGUAGGGCGCGAGCGUUGUCCGGAAUUAUUGGGCGUAAAGAGCUCGUAGGCGGCUUGUCGCGUCGGUUGUGAAAGCCCGGGGCUUAACCCCGGGUCUGCAGUCGAUACGGGCAGGCUAGAGUUCGGUAGGGGAGAUCGGAAUUCCUGGUGUAGCGGUGAAAUGCGCAGAUAUCAGGAGGAACACCGGUGGCGAAGGCGGAUCUCUGGGCCGAUACUGACGCUGAGGAGCGAAAGCGUGGGGAGCGAACAGGAUUAGAUACCCUGGUAGUCCACG